Molecule: long non-coding RNA, 730 nt
Organism: Aphis gossypii (cotton aphid)
Lineage: Eukaryota; Metazoa; Arthropoda; Insecta; Hemiptera; Aphididae
Exons: 3
Source: RefSeq, a predicted model, not a curated record
AUGUUAAAAAAUAAAAAUUAGUGAAUAAAAAUUAUCUAAUGAUACUUAUUACAAAUUUUACUAAAUUUAAGGACGAACAUUUUAUGAAAACAGUGAGUUUUCAUAAUGGUUAUCCGUUUCAUCGUUUCAUGCCAUUAAUUUUAUGUAGUAAAUAAUAAUUAUUAAUUAUAUUUUAUAACUCAUCCUGCAAGACGUUGCCCGUAUUAAAUUAAAUAACUCCAAAGGAUUUACUCUCUUAAAGUUUGUUAAAUAAACCCUAAUACCCUAUUCAGACAAAAAGAAAUAUUCGUUUUUCUUGAGCCAAUAAAUUAUUAUGCAAGUCUUUCUACAAAAUUUAAAACUACGAAUGCAAAAUACUUGGCUGCUGUAUAUUGAUUCCAGUUGAAAAUAUCUCUAGUCAAAAAUAUCUCCGAUUUAAAAUAUCUCCAGUACGAAAUCAGUAAAAAAGAAAAAAGUACAAUGAUUACGAUGAAUGAUUGUUUAAAAUAAUAAGUCAAUACAAUGAAAUUACAUCUAUGAAAUAUUUAGGGAGAAUUGCCCACAAUCUUGAAUUUUAAUUUUGUCUUAUAUCAUGAUUGGAUUUUAUAUUUACCUAUUUAUUUAAUUUUUUACAUUACUCAAUCGUGCCUUAUUGUAUACAGUCAAUUAUAAUAUAAUUUAUUUUGUAUUUGUAUUAUUUUAAAAAUUACAUGUUAUUAUGAUUACUAUAACAUAUUUUUAAAUAUUUUCA